AUUGAACGCUGGCGGAAUGCUUUACACACGCAAGUCGAACGGCAGCACGGACUUCGGUCUGGUGGCGAGUGGCGAACGGGUGAGUAAUAUAUCGGAACGUAUCCAAUAAUGGGGGAUAACUAAUCGAAAGGUUGGCUAAUACCGCAUACGUCCUACGGGAGAAAGCUAGGGACCUUCGGGCCUGGCGUUAAUGGAGCGGCCGAUAUGGGAUUAGCUAGUUGGUGAGGUAAAGGCUCACCAAGGCGACGAUCCGUAGCUGGUCUGAGAGGACGACCAGCCACACUGGAACUGAGACACGGUCCAGACUCCUACGGGAGGCAGCAGUGGGGAAUUUUGGACAAUGGGCGAAAGCCUGAUCCAGCCAUUCCGCGUGAGUGAAGAAGGCCUUCGGGUUGUAAACUUCUGUUAAGUGGGAAAAAAGACCGGUUUUUAAUAGAAAUCGGGGAUGAUUGUACCAUUAGAGAAAGCACUGGCUAACUCUGUGCCAGCCGCCGCGGUAA
RNAcentral lists this ribosomal RNA (500 nucleotides) under uncultured bacterium. Its description in RNAcentral is "partial 16S ribosomal RNA". It matches the Rfam family "Bacterial small subunit ribosomal RNA", at positions 30 to 523 of the family's 1533-position model. The record is from RNAcentral.